RNAcentral lists this ribosomal RNA (433 nucleotides) under uncultured bacterium. RNAcentral's name for it is "partial 16S ribosomal RNA". It matches the Rfam family "Bacterial small subunit ribosomal RNA", at positions 29 to 507 of the family's 1533-position model. The record is from RNAcentral.
AACGAACGCUGGCGGCAUGCCUAACACAUGCAAGUCGAACGAGACCUUCGGGUCUAGUGGCGCACGGGUGCGUAACGCGUGGGAACCUGCCCUUAGGUUCGGAAUAACUCCCCGCAAGGGGUGCUCAUACCGGAUACUGUCUUCGGACCAAAGAUUUAUCGCCUAUGGAUGGGCCUGCGUUGGAUUAGCUAGUUGGUAGGGUAAAAGCCUACCAAGGCGACGAUCCAUAGCUGGUCUGAGAGGAUGAUCAGCCACACUGGGACUGAGACACGGCCCAGACUCCUACGGGAGGCAGCAGUGGGGAAUAUUGGACAAUGGGCGAAAGCCUGAUCCAGCAAUGCCGCGUGAGUUAUGAAGGCCUUAGGGUUGUAAAGCUCUUUUACCCGGGAUGAUAAUGACAGUACCGGGAGAAUAAGCUCCGGCUAACUCCGUG